GGGCCUGUGGCCUAGUUUGGAUAUGGCGGCAGCCUCCUAAGCUGCAAAUCGGGGGUUCAAAUCCCCCCAGGCCCG
Molecule: transfer RNA, 75 nt
Filed under: Thermoplasmata archaeon
Lineage: Archaea; Methanobacteriati; Thermoplasmatota; Thermoplasmata
Description: tRNA-Arg
Rfam family: tRNA
About the family: Transfer RNA (tRNA) molecules are approximately 80 nucleotides in length. Their secondary structure includes four short double-helical elements and three loops (D, anti-codon, and T loops). Further hydrogen bonds mediate the characteristic L-shaped molecular structure. tRNAs have two regions of fundamental functional importance: the anti-codon, which is responsible for specific mRNA codon recognition, and the 3' end, to which the tRNAs corresponding amino acid is attached (by aminoacyl-tRNA synthetases). tRNAs cope with the degeneracy of the genetic code in two manners: having more than one tRNA (with a specific anti-codon) for a particular amino acid; and 'wobble' base-pairing, i.e. permitting non-standard base-pairing at the 3rd anti-codon position.
Source: RNAcentral